AGUGAACGCUGGCGGCAGGCCUAACACAUGCAAGUCGAACGGCAGCACAAGAGAGCUUGCUCUCUGGGUGGCGAGUGGCGGACGGGUGAGGGAUGCAUCGGAAUCUGCCCAUUUGUGGGGGAUAACCUCGGGAAACCGGGACUAAUACCGCAUACGACCUACGGGUGAAAGCAGGGGAUCUUCGGACCUUGCGCAGAUGGAUGAGCCGAUGCCGGAUUAGCUAGUUGGAGGGGUAAAGGCCCACCAAGGCGACGAUCCGUAGCUGGUCUGAGAGGAUGAUCAGCCACACUGGGACUGAGACACGGCCCAGACUCCUACGGGAGGCAGCAGUGGGGAAUAUUGGACAAUGGGCGCAAGCCUGAUCCAGCCAUGCCGCGUGUGUGAAGAAGGCCUUCGGGUUGUAAAGCACUUUUGUUGGGAAAGAAAAGCAGCCGGUUAAUACCCGGUUGUCAUGACGGUACCCAAAGAAUAAGCACCGGCUAACUUCGUG
Molecule: ribosomal RNA, 490 nt
Filed under: uncultured bacterium
Lineage: Bacteria
Description: partial 16S ribosomal RNA
Rfam family: Bacterial small subunit ribosomal RNA
Source: RNAcentral